GAGCUCUGACCCACAGAGCAGUGUGGGGAUAAAUACUGUGUGCAGUCCUGGGCUGCUCAGGUUGAUGGGGCUGGCGUGGAGGUGGCUUCCUCAAGUGCAGGGCCUGAGGCCUUUGGAGGGAAAUCCCAUCAAAAAGGAUGAAGCUGGGUUCCUAACACCACUCACAAAUAGCCCAUCAGAAAGGAUGAAGCUGGGUUUGCUAACACCCCUACUCGUAUGCAUACACACCAAGGAAUGCCUGGCUGCCUGUUCCCGCUGGCAUUUGUCUGAACAAGCUGCAGCACAAAUCUGGAUGAAUCCUGGGUUCAGCCCUGCAGGAGGCCUCAGGUAUUUGGUUUCCUGAGUGAUAUUUUGAAGCUUUCUUUUCUGAACCCCAUUGAACUGUGACUGUGAAAUCCUCCCUGGAGAACUCCUGUCUCGGAUCCAAGUAGAUCUUGCUCUGAUCAGGAGUAAUGUCUCAGAGGAGUGAUAGGAUCAACUUCAUCCUCCUGUAGAUUUUCCUUCUCUGCCGGCAACCAAUUUCUUGCACACUGCUACAGGAAAAAAAAAAAAAUCUAAUAAAAACAAACAACUCCCAGGGAUGCUCCUGUGCCUCACUCUGCCAAGGACUGGUGAUCACAUCAACAUCUUGGUUCUCAGGCAUCUGCCAAAACCCAAUGACUUCAGCCAGAACGGCAGAGCAGGGGUGAGCCAGCUGUGAUAUAACGGGCAGAGCUCUGGUUCCUGGGGAGUCUUCUCUGCAGACAUGGGCUUCUUCAUUUAAUGGGCCUUGGAUCUUAUUUAACACAUCGGCUCAUGUACCGUGCGGGUGUAAAGAAGCUGUGUGUAUAUAAUAAAAAACCUCAGCCUAUUCAGUAGCUAAGGGAGGCCUAAUAAAUUUGCCACUACAGCAAGUGUUAGUCUCUAGGGCCAAUACUGAAUGCUGGAGUUUAAUAAACAAAAAUUCUGAACUAAAAGGUAAACCAGUUCAGCUGACAAAGCAAAAACAAUGUAAUUAGAAAU
Molecule: long non-coding RNA, 1002 nt
Filed under: Gallus gallus (chicken)
Lineage: Eukaryota; Metazoa; Chordata; Aves; Galliformes; Phasianidae
Description: lncRNA (ENSGALG00010023427.1)
Source: RNAcentral